AUUGAACGCUGGCGGCAUGCUUUACACAUGCAAGUCGAACGGCAGCGCGGGCUUCGGCCUGGCGGCGAGUGGCGAACGGGUGAGUAAUACAUCGGAACGUGCCCAGUAGUGGGGGAUAGCUCGGCGAAAGCCGGAUUAAUACCGCAUACGACCUGAGGGUGAAAGCGGGGGAUCUUCGGACCUCGCGCUAUUGGAGCGGCCGAUGGCAGAGUAGCUAGUUGGUGGGGUAAAGGCCUACCAAGGCGACGAUCUGUAGCUGGUCUGAGAGGACGACCAGCCACACUGGGACUGAGACACGGCCCAGACUCCUACGGGAGGCAGCAGUGGGGAAUUUUGGGCAAUGGGCGAAAGCCUGAUCCAGCAAUGCCGCGUGUGUGAUGAAGGCCUUCGGGUUGUAAAGCACUUUUGGCGGGAACGAAAAGGACUGUGCCAAUACCACGGUUCGAUGACGGUACCCGCAGAAUAAGCACCGGCUAACUACGUG
This 484-nucleotide ribosomal RNA is filed under the name uncultured bacterium. RNAcentral describes it as "partial 16S ribosomal RNA". It matches the Rfam family "Bacterial small subunit ribosomal RNA", at positions 29 to 507 of the family's 1533-position model. The record is from RNAcentral.